Long non-coding RNA from Cloeon dipterum, 692 nucleotides. RefSeq lists it as uncharacterized. The transcript is spliced from 3 exons. The record is from RefSeq and is a predicted model, not a curated record. NCBI's taxonomy places the organism in Eukaryota, Metazoa, Arthropoda, Insecta, Ephemeroptera, Baetidae.
GACGAAAUGGUUGAAAUUCCUUCCACGUUCAACUGGGACCUUGUGGUGGGUGGACUCCCUCCAGGUCGAGAGAAAAAUGAGCGGAACCGGAGGAGGUGUGCCAAUGAGCAUCUUGAAGGCUUUGAUAAGGAUCAAAAAGGUUGCUUCUCAGCCAGGCAUGUUGGUGUAAUUCCGGUGGCUUCCUUCAAAUUGUAAGUUUAUGGAUGAUGCAAUCGCAUGUAUGGGGGACUCACACUUUCCGCUCACUCACACUUCUCGUUUUUUGAUGGGAAGAAUCAAUGUAAUGCCCUAUCCUAGCGAGAAGUGUGAGUGUUGGGCGAAAAGGGUGAGUCCCCCAUACUAUUAUGUUCAGAUCGGAGUGUUUGUUUAUUCAUAUGGGAUUGUUACUAAUUUGCGAUUCUUUCAGUGCAUUGCCUGAGCAUCAAGAAGGCUAUCUUGAGACUAACAGCCGCUGCCGAGAAAGGCAGUGGCAAUACCACAUUCUGGACCGGACUGAGAGAACAACACAUGAAGGGCGGCUCUUGUUCGUGAGUCGUCGAAGUGUGGCCUCGCAUGAUAUUCCGCCCAUCCCCGAUAGCUUCAUGCAAGCGGAAUCUGACAUCAGCGCAACUUACGACAUGGAACGCCACAUGACCCUGCUCGGCAUGGAAAACUGGCUGCUGGAUAUGGACCGUAAGAUGACAAUGCCAAGG